This 221-nucleotide small nuclear RNA is filed under the name Gorilla gorilla gorilla (western lowland gorilla). RNAcentral's name for it is "7SK RNA (ENSGGOG00000035278.2)". It matches the Rfam family "7SK RNA", at positions 50 to 299 of the family's 331-position model. Rfam says of the family: 7SK was discovered as an abundant small nuclear RNA in the mid-70s but a possible function has only recently been suggested. The record is from RNAcentral. Lineage: Eukaryota; Metazoa; Chordata; Mammalia; Primates; Hominidae.
GGGUUGAUUCGAAUGGGUUGACACCUGCUGGCUUAGGCAGGCAUCCCUUUCCUCCCUCACUGCUCCAUGUGGAUCUCUCCUGAAGCUGUGUGCUGGGUGGAAGAGGAGGAUCUUCUCUGAUAGAGGACAACGGUUCUGUGGUCAAGUGUAUACCACUCCCCUGCUAGAACCGCAGAACGAGCUCAAACCAGAAGAUGAAUGUUGAACAUGUACAUCCUGUU